UACGAAGGUGGCAAGCGUUGUUCGGAUUCACUGGGCGUACAGGGUGUGUAGGCGGUUUGGUAAGCCUUCUGUUAAAGCUUCGGGCCCAACCCGGAAAGCGCAGAGGGUACUGCCAGGCUAGAGGACGGGAGAGGAGCGCGGAAUUCCCGGUGUAGCGGUGAAAUGCGUAGAGAUCGGGAGGAAGGCCGGUGGCGAAGGCGGCGCUCUGGACCUCUUCUGACGCUGAGGUGCGAAAGCGUGGGGAGCAAACAGG
RNAcentral lists this ribosomal RNA (253 nucleotides) under uncultured bacterium. RNAcentral describes it as "partial 16S ribosomal RNA". It matches the Rfam family "Bacterial small subunit ribosomal RNA", at positions 524 to 776 of the family's 1533-position model. The record is from RNAcentral.